GGGGUGCUAACACAUGCAGUCGCACGAGAAAGGGGAGCAAUCCCUGAGUAAAGUGGCGCACGGGUGAGUAACACGUGACUAAUCUACCCUCGAGUGGGGAAUAACUGAGAGAAAUCUUAGCUAAGUUACCGCAUAACACUUACGAGUCAAAGCAGCAAUGCGCUUGGGGAGGAGGUCGCGGCCGAUUAGCUAGUUGGCGGGGUAAUGGCCCACCAAGGCGAUGAUCGGUAUCCGGCCUGAGAGGGCGCACGGACACACUGGAACUGAAACACGGUCCAGACUCCUACGGGAGGCAGCAGUGGGGAAUUUUGCGCAAUGGGGGAAACCCUGACGCAGCAACGCCGCGUGGAGGAUGAAGUAUCUUGGUACGUAAACUCCUUUCGAUGGGGAAGAUUAUGACGGUACCCAUAGAAGAAGCCCCGGCUAACUUCGUGCCAGCAGCCGCGGUAAUACGAGGGGGGCAAGCGUUGUUCGGAUUUAUUGGGCGUAAAGGGUGCGUAGGCGGUUUGGCAAGUCUUAUGUGAAAUCUUCGGGCUCAACCCGAAGCCUGCAUAAGAAACUGCCGGGCUUGAGUAUGGGAGAGGUGAGUGGAAUUUCCGGUGUAGCGGUGAAAUGCGUAGAUUCGGAAGGAACACCUGUGGCGAAAGCGGCUCACUGGACCAUAACUGACGCUGAUGCACGAAAGCUAGGGGAGCAAACAGGAUUAGAUACCCUGGUAGUCCUAGCCCUAAACGGAUGAAAUUGCUUGGGUGUUGGCCAGGGUACCCCAAUCCUUGGCCGGUGCCGAAAGCUUAAGCGAUAAGCAAUCCGCUGGGGAGUACG
RNAcentral lists this ribosomal RNA (822 nucleotides) under uncultured bacterium. Its description in RNAcentral is "bacterial SSU rRNA". It matches the Rfam family "Bacterial small subunit ribosomal RNA", at positions 41 to 884 of the family's 1533-position model. The record is from RNAcentral.